GAAGAUGCAGAUUCAAUUCUUGAAACGCACGUUUGAUGGAAUAUCCAGGACUUGAAGAUGCAGAUUCAAUUCUUGAAACCCUCCUCUUAUAUAAUGUGAGUAUUAACUGGACUUCAUUUGCCAAUGCUUUCUUUGAUGAAGAUAAUUUCUGAAUUGUUAGUUCUGCUGCAGAUUCAAUGUCCCUAUUAACUAACAUCUUUCAGCAGUUUGGAGAAAUCAUAUUUCUAUUUCAUCAAUUGAUUUAAAUUAAAAGAUGAUCAAGGCAGCUAUAAAAUAUCAUUUGCAAUGCUGUAGACAUACCUUCAUCAGGUUUCAUAUUUAUCACAAUGAAAGAUGUUAGUUCUGCUGCAACAAUGCUCAAUUCAAUUUGGUUGGACCCCUUGAUGCGGCCGUUAUGUAGCAUCAUAUUACUCCUGUUUCUGAAGCUAUACUGAAUCAAUGGAUGGAUGGUCCAGUUCAGGAAGCAUGCCAAACUGUUGCUUCACUAGACAUCAUGCAGGGUUGUCAUAGCUACCUGUUUUGUAGACCGUUCUGCUCUUGAAGGCGCAAAUAAAUGCAUCAACUGGUGGAGUCUGCCUGAACUUUUACAUAUCAUGGAAGUCCUGAAAACUUGCUCAUGCAUGCAUCUUAUGGAUGUGUUCUCUUUGAGGUUACUGAAUACAAGGGUGAUACUCCCAACACAAAUAUGAAAUAUGGUUGCCCCAGUACUUGGUUGGAUUCCAAGUGAAUAGAUGUAUGAUUUUACUCAUUUCUAUUCUUAUUUUACAAAUGAAUUGAUUUUUGAUCGGUCGGAAGAGGAACUAUUUAAAAUAAAUAGAUUCAGAAGUCAAUGGUCCAAAAAUAGAGAGACAGCAUCACUUGAAGGCUUUCCUUGGUUGUUUAGUUUAGUAACUCUUGAUGCUUAUAUGACUUCCAUGAAACAUUGUCUGUCACAAGUGCUGGUAGAAAAUCUUUUGAUUAGAUCAUAUGCGUGUAAUAAAUACCUGAAGAUUGCUUAGUUGUUUUUUUUUUUUUUCAGGAUUGUACUCUUUCAUUUUUUUUUUUAUAAUAAUUAUUGAAAGUAUAGAAGGAGAUUCUGUGAUGAGAAACCAAAUGCAAUGUUGAAGGUAAAGUGUAGCUAAGACGAGUCUCUACUCUCUACUGGAAGCAUAGGAGAUAGAAACGCUGCACCGUGCAGAGCGAGCACUGUUCAGAAGCUGCAGCGCACCCUUAGUGUGACGUGAAGCGUGCGAGUUGGAGGGAUGAAUAUUGAAAGGGAGACGCAGGAGAUAAAAAUCGCCUCCACAACAUUGAAAAAGCAGUGGAGGUGGACUACCAUUGGGCCAAGUUCGCUGACGUCCGGUACCACGUUCAGGUGACGAUGAAAAACCCACACAUUGUGCUGCUUUCGGUUUCACUGCCGGCCCCACCUCCGGAAAUUGUGUUCUUGAGUGGGCUUCCUGCUGGGGCUAUAGAGUCUAUAAUGGAUCAGUAGUGCAGAUUCUUGACCCACAUAGAGAUGGGUUUAAUCUUACAUUGAAGCUCAAUAUCUCUAAACUUCCUACAGAUGAAGGUUCAACGAGUUCCUUUUCUAAGAGUACAAACAUGCUCUUUUGGUAAAGAUUGCAUCUGUAAGGGAAGUGGUGCUAGGAGCUCCAUUGAGAGUAAUUCUGAAGCAGCCUGCUUUGAGGACUUUUGCUUCUGAUGUUGAUCCACUUGUUGCUCUUGUGCAUCGGCCAAAGGAAUCCUUUUUCCUUAUUCCUCAGGAGGAACUAAAAUCUGUUGAACGCCUCCAACCUGCUUCCCGAUGCUGCAAAGAGUAUAAAUCGAAAGAAACGAUGAUCCUGUCGCUUUUGGAAAUGGCUCUGUGGAAUGCCCUGUUUUAGCUUGUCAUUGAUUUGAUGUUGCUGCUGUUGUGAUGGGUGCUCUCUUACCUAGAAAUGCCACGCUGCUCCUGCUGCGGUUCAUGCAACAGUUCAAGCUGUGGUUCAUACAAAGGUUCAUGCUGCGGUCCAUGUAACUGUAAUUCGUGUUUCAGUUGCCCUUCACUACCAAAGUGGCGAUGUUGCUGCUCAUGUCCCCGAUCCCGUUACUGCAAAACUAGUUCAUGUUCAUGCAGCAGAAAUUGCUGCAUUUUACCAUCAUGUUCGUGCUCAUGUCCCAAUUGCUCUUGUUUGAAUUGUUUCAAAUGGAAAUGCUCGUCCUAAAUAUCCUUGUUCAAUGUCCUUGUUGCUGUUGUAAAAUAACCUGCUGCAACCCUUGCAGUACAUGUUUGUAGUAUUCAUGACAUCUCUUAUGGAAGCUCUGUAUCGUGGCUUUUUCAUAUUUAACUAUUCUAGAUAUGCUGCAAAUAUUCAGGUAUUCAUACAAUUGAGUUUAUGAAAUAAAUUUUUUAGUA
Long non-coding RNA from Rosa rugosa (rugosa rose), 2377 nucleotides. RefSeq lists it as uncharacterized. The transcript is spliced from 9 exons. The record is from RefSeq and is a predicted model, not a curated record. Lineage: Eukaryota; Viridiplantae; Streptophyta; Magnoliopsida; Rosales; Rosaceae.